ACAGGUGCUGCAUGGCUGUCGUCAGCUCGUGUUGUGAAAUGUUGGGUUAAGUCCCGCAACGAGCGCAACCCUUAUCCUUUGUUGCCAGCGGUCCGGCCGGGAACUCAAAGGAGACUGCCAGUGAUAAACUGGAGGAAGGUGGGGAUGACGUCAAGUCAUCAUGGCCCUUACGACCAGGGCUACACACGUGCUACAAUGGCGCAUACAAAGAGAAGC
This 216-nucleotide ribosomal RNA is filed under the name Escherichia coli. RNAcentral's name for it is "partial 16S ribosomal RNA". It matches the Rfam family "Bacterial small subunit ribosomal RNA", at positions 1034 to 1250 of the family's 1533-position model. The record is from RNAcentral. Lineage: Bacteria; Pseudomonadati; Pseudomonadota; Gammaproteobacteria; Enterobacterales; Enterobacteriaceae.